This 123-nucleotide ribosomal RNA is filed under the name Klebsiella pneumoniae. RNAcentral's name for it is "partial 16S ribosomal RNA". It matches the Rfam family "Bacterial small subunit ribosomal RNA", at positions 1 to 118 of the family's 1533-position model. The record is from RNAcentral. Lineage: Bacteria; Pseudomonadati; Pseudomonadota; Gammaproteobacteria; Enterobacterales; Enterobacteriaceae.
AAAUUGAAGAGUUUGAUCAUGGCUCAGAUUGAACGCUGGCGGCAGGCCUAACACAUGCAAGUCGAGCGGUAGCACAGAGAGCUUGCUCUCGGGUGACGAGCGGCGGACGGGUGAGUAAUGUCU